AGUGAACGCUGGCGGUAGGCCUAACACAUGCAAGUCGAACGGCAGCACAGUAAGAGCUUGCUCUUACGGGUGGCGAGUGGCGGACGGGUGAGGAAUACAUCGGAAUCUACUUUUUCGUGGGGGAUAACGUAGGGAAACUUACGCUAAUACCGCAUACGACCUACGGGUGAAAGCAGGGGAUCUUCGGACCUUGCGCGAUUGAUUGAGCCGAUGUCGGAUUAGCUAGUUGGCGGGGUAAAGGCCCACCAAGGCGACGAUCCGUAGCUGGUCUGAGAGGAUGAUCGGCCACACUGGAACUGAGACACGGUCCAGACUCCUACGGGAGGCAGCAGUGGGGAAUAUUGCACAAUGGGCGAAAGCCUGACCCAGCCAUGCCGCGUGAGUGAAGAAGGCCUUCGGGUUGUAAAGCCCUGUUGUUAGGAAAGAAAAGCAGCAGGUGAAAACGCCGAUGUUCUGACGGUACCCAAAGAGUAAGCACCGGCUAACUACGUG
Molecule: ribosomal RNA, 492 nt
Filed under: uncultured bacterium
Lineage: Bacteria
Description: partial 16S ribosomal RNA
Rfam family: Bacterial small subunit ribosomal RNA
Source: RNAcentral